Molecule: transfer RNA, 121 nt
Filed under: Naumovozyma dairenensis CBS 421
Lineage: Eukaryota; Fungi; Ascomycota; Saccharomycetes; Saccharomycetales; Saccharomycetaceae
Rfam family: tRNA
About the family: Transfer RNA (tRNA) molecules are approximately 80 nucleotides in length. Their secondary structure includes four short double-helical elements and three loops (D, anti-codon, and T loops).
Source: Rfam by way of RNAcentral
GGUUGUUUGGCCGAGCGGUCUAAGGCGCCUGAUUCAAGGAAAAUUACAAUUCUUGACCAGAGAAAACUCUGGGAACACUCAGGUAUCGUAAGAUGCAAGAGUUCGAAUCUCUUAGCAACCA